This 89-nucleotide transfer RNA is filed under the name Streptomyces olivaceoviridis. RNAcentral describes it as "tRNA-Glu". Lineage: Bacteria; Bacillati; Actinomycetota; Actinomycetes; Kitasatosporales; Streptomycetaceae. The record is from RNAcentral.
GUCGCUGCGGCGCGCGGCCUCGGCGUUGUCGGCGCCCUCGACGCCGUGGCCGAGUUCCCCGGCGGCGGUCCGGGCCCGCUCGGCGGCGC